AUUGAACGCUGGCGGCAGGCCUAACACAUGCAAGUCGAGCGGAUGAAGGGAGCUUGCUCCUGGAUUCAGCGGCGGACGGGUGAGUAAUGCCUAGGAAUCUGCCUGGUAGUGGGGGAUAACGCCCGGAAACGGGCGCUAAUACCGCAUACGUCCUGAGGGAGAAAAUGGGGGAUCUUCGGACCUCACGCUAUCAGAUGAGCCUAGGUCGGAUUAGCUAGUUGGUGGGGUAAAGGCCUACCAAGGCGACGAUCCGUAACUGGUCUGAGAGGAUGAUCAGUCACACUGGAACUGAGACACGGUCCAGACUCCUACGGGAGGCAGCAGUGGGGAAUAUUGGACAAUGGGCGAAAGCCUGAUCCAGCCAUGCCGCGUGUGUGAAGAAGGUCUUCGGAUUGUAAAGCACUUUAAGUUGGGAGGAAGGGCAGUAAGUUAAUACCUUGCUGUUUUGACGUUACCAACAGAAUAAGCACCGGCUAACUUCGUG
RNAcentral lists this ribosomal RNA (484 nucleotides) under uncultured bacterium. RNAcentral describes it as "partial 16S ribosomal RNA". It matches the Rfam family "Bacterial small subunit ribosomal RNA", at positions 30 to 507 of the family's 1533-position model. The record is from RNAcentral.